GCUAGGUGUGGUGGUAUGCACCUGUAAUCCCAGCUACUGGGAAACUGAGGCAGGAGGAUUGCAGAUUUGAGGGCAGCCUCAGCUACUUAGGGAGACCCUGUUUCAA
This 106-nucleotide small RNA is filed under the name Marmota monax (woodchuck). The record is from RNAcentral. Lineage: Eukaryota; Metazoa; Chordata; Mammalia; Rodentia; Sciuridae.